GACGAACGCUGGCGGCGCGCCUAACACAUGCAAGUCGAACGGAGUCAAGAGGAGCUUGCUUUUCUUGACUUAGUGGCGAACGGGUGAGUAACGCGUGAGUAACCUGCCCUGGAGUGGGGGACAACAGUUGGAAACGACUGCUAAUACCGCAUAAGCCCACGGAUCUGCAUGGGUCUGCGGGAAAAGGAUUUAUUCGCUCUAGGAUGGACUCGCGUCCAAUUAGCUAGUUGGUGAGGUAACGGCCCACCAAGGCGACGAUUGGUAGCCGGACUGAGAGGUUGAACGGCCACAUUGGGACUGAGACACGGCCCAGACUCCUACGGGAGGCAGCAGUGGGGGAUAUUGCACAAUGGGGGAAACCCUGAUGCAGCGACGCCGCGUGGAGGAAGAAGGUUUUCGGAUUGUAAACUCCUGUCGUUAGGGACGAUAAUGACGGUACCUAACAAGAAAGCACCGGCUAACUACGUG
RNAcentral lists this ribosomal RNA (468 nucleotides) under uncultured bacterium. RNAcentral's name for it is "partial 16S ribosomal RNA". It matches the Rfam family "Bacterial small subunit ribosomal RNA", at positions 28 to 507 of the family's 1533-position model. The record is from RNAcentral.